UCCUGGUUUGAAUUUAACUGUGUGGACGUAUAAAUUAUAUAAAGUGUGUUAAGUUUAAAGCUGAAUAAUGGAGAUAAAGGCUCAAACAGUUUUUUUGAAAAUAGUAUUAUUCGUUUCCUUCGGAUUUUAUCUGUGCGGUGGUACCCGAUGCGAUUCCAACUGCACUGACUGUGACACCAGUGAGUCCUCUGGAUCAUGCCGUAACUGCCGAGACGGCUUCUAUCCAAGCCAGUAUAAUUGUCAACAGGGUACUUAUUCAAAUUGCAAAACAUGUUUUAAUGCGUCAAACUGUGACUCCUGCAAAGACGGUUUUUGGGGUGAAAAAUGUAAUGCAAAAUGUGCAGAAGGGUGUGUUGAUAGAAAAUGCAAUACUGCUAACGGUUUUUGUUCUUGUCUUAGGAACUAUUACGGAAAUAAAUGCGAUGGACUAUGUUCAGACCAUUGCGUUCCUUCCACUUGCUUUGGUGAUACUGGCAAUUGUGUAUGUAAUCAAGGAUAUUUUGGGCCAUCAUGUCGCUCAAGAUGUGGCAAUUAUUGCACCCAUUGUAUAAAUAUUACGUCAUGCUCAUCGUGUGAAACAGGAAAGUUCGAUAGUUCGUGUCAAUUAUUUUGUCAAUGCGAUGGCAAUGCAUGUGAUAUUGUUACCGGAGAGUGUCGUGCUUGUGGAACAGACUGUUUGUCUUGCAAUAAUAAUGUCUGCACUUCAUGUAUGACCGGAAAAUAUGGAAGACGAUGUGAGAAUACGUGCUCGUCUACAUGCUAUGAUGUCUGUGAUAAUCAAGGGAAUUGUCAGUCGUGUUUGUCAGGGUAUUAUGGUCAUCAAUGUGAAUUCGGAUGCAAUUGUGAAUUCGGAUGCGAUCAACUUCAAGGCCAAUGCUUGAAAAAUGCUUGCCCAAAAAACUGUAAUGGUACCUGUGAUGAUUCUUCACAUAGAUGUUAUUCAUGUAAUCGUGGGUAUCACGGACCAUAUUGCAACGUGACGUGCUUUGGUAAAUGUGCUGAUUCACGGUGUUAUACAAAUGGUAGCUGUUUGUCCUGUGAAUCGGGAUAUUACGGAAAAAGUUGCAACAUGUAAUGUCAACAAAUGUGUGAAAGUAAUAAAUGUCGUCAAAAUGAUGGAUUAUGUGAGGUCUGCCCAGCAAACUGUGUAUCAUGUGAGUCCGAAGCCACUUGUGCCGUUUGCCAAGAAUCAAAAUAUGGACACAUCUGCCAUUUAUCUUGCAACGACGAGUGUACAGAUAAAAUGUGCAAUAUCAAAGGAGUAUGUUACAAUUGUUCUGCGUUAUCUGCUUUUGGAAGUUACUGCAACUUAACAUGCAAUCAUAAUUGUUAUUUGUUAACAUGUGAUAGGUACACAGGAGCGUGUAGUAGCUGUAAAAAUAACUCAGUGUUUGGAAUGUUUUGUAAUGAAACAUGUAGUUCGUAUUGUCUUGGUAACGAAUGUAAACGAGAGAAUGGUGUGUGCUUAAACGGAUGCAGAGAUGGAUACUUUGGAACUAUAUGUGAUCAGGAAUGUUCUAAAAGAUGCCGAAAUAAUUCAGGAGUAAUAUGUAAUAUAGACGGUGCAUGUCUUGGAGGCUGCGUUGAAGGAUACUUUGGCAAACGAUGCAAAUCAGACGGCCGUUACCAACAAACUGAAGAAACUAACUCUGGUUCUGUGAUCGGUGGAGCGGUUGGUGGUGUACUUGGCGUGUGUGCUGUCGUAGCGCUAGUGGUGGUUGUCCUGGUAUUGAAGAGAAAGGGGAUUAUUUGGAAGGAGAGCAAGGAGACGUAUGAGGAUAUAUCACCAGGAAGAAGCCAAGAUGAACCCUACACAACAUUGGCAUCUGCGAGCACGACCGAGUACGAAAUACACGAUUCGGAGCCAAGGUCCGAGCUGACCAUCGAAGGUGAAGACAACAGGGUGUAUUACAAUGAUGAGAGGGUCUACUACAAGAAUGUCGGGGGAAAUGUUCAUAAAACAUGAGAAUGUACACAGACAGAUUGAGCAUAUUAAGUGUUUGUAGUAUGUUUCCAGGAGUGUUACCUUUUACAUCAGCGCUAUCGUUGGUUAAUUUUUAACUACAUUAUGAGAGUUCUCAUGUAAACUGCAUAGUCAAAUAAUAAAUUGUUUCGAGUCAUCAAAAUAAUUGUGUAAGUCUAUAAGAACGUCUCGUUUCGACAUUUGUAUAAAAUACCUCAUGCUAUGUUUAUAAAGUUUAUUGAUGCGAAAAUAGUCUCAUUCUUCUGUAUGGAGCCUAGUGGUUGUAAUGAUGCAGUGUUAGCUG
Molecule: RNA transcript, 2267 nt
Organism: Mya arenaria
Lineage: Eukaryota; Metazoa; Mollusca; Bivalvia; Myida; Myidae
Gene name: multiple epidermal growth factor-like domains protein 10
Exons: 5
Source: RefSeq, a predicted model, not a curated record